UGGCCUAUUGCUCCUUGGACUGCUGUCUUC
RNAcentral lists this non-coding RNA (30 nucleotides) under Mus musculus (house mouse). Lineage: Eukaryota; Metazoa; Chordata; Mammalia; Rodentia; Muridae. The record is from RNAcentral.